GCCCUUGUGGCGGAAUCGGUAGACGCAGCAGACUCAAAAUCUGCCGUUCAUCUGAACAUGGGAGUUCGAGUCUCCCCGAGGGCACCA
Molecule: transfer RNA, 87 nt
Filed under: Holosporales bacterium
Lineage: Bacteria; Pseudomonadati; Pseudomonadota; Alphaproteobacteria; Holosporales
Description: tRNA-Leu
Rfam family: tRNA
About the family: Transfer RNA (tRNA) molecules are approximately 80 nucleotides in length. Their secondary structure includes four short double-helical elements and three loops (D, anti-codon, and T loops).
Source: RNAcentral